Molecule: ribosomal RNA, 465 nt
Filed under: uncultured bacterium
Lineage: Bacteria
Description: partial 16S ribosomal RNA
Rfam family: Bacterial small subunit ribosomal RNA
Source: RNAcentral
CCUACGGGAGGCAGCAGUGGGGAAUAUUGCGCAAUGGGCGAAAGCCUGACGCAGCGACGCCGCGUGAGGGAUGAAGGUCUUCGGAUCGUAAACCUCUGUCAGCAGGGAAGAACGGUCACUGUGCUAAUCAGCAGUGAAUUGACGGUACCUGCAAAGGAAGCACCGGCUAACUCCGUGCCAGCAGCCGCGGUAAUACGGAGGGUGCGAGCGUUAAUCGGAAUUACUGGGCGUAAAGCGCUCGUAGGCGGUAUGUCAAGUCAAGGGUGAAAUCCCCGCGCUCAACGUGGGAACUGCCUUUGAAACUGGCAAACUGGAGUGUGUGAGAGGAUAGUGGAAUUCCAGGUGAAGGAGUGAAAUGCGUAGAUAUCUGGAGGAACAUCAGUGGCGAAGGCGACUAUCUGGCACAUAACUGACGCUGAGGAGCGAAAGCGUGGGUAGCAAACAGGAUUAGAUACCCUUGUAGUC